GUCGAGCGGUAAGGCCCUUCGGGGUACACGAGCGGCGAACGGGUGAGUAACACGUGGGUGACCUGCCCUCCACUCUGGGAUAAGCCUGGGAAACUGGGUCUAAUACCGGAUAUGACUUCAUGCCGCAUGGUGUGGGGUGGAAAGCUUUAUGUGGUGGGGGAUGGACCCGCGGCCUAUCAGCUUGUUGGUGGGGUAAAGGCCUACCAAGGCGACGACGGGUAGCCGGCCUGAGAGGGCGACCGGCCACACUGGGACUGAGACACGGCCCAGACUCCUACGGGAGGCAGCAGUGGGGAAUAUUGCACAAUGGGCGAAAGCCUGAUGCAGCGACGCCGCGUGAGGGAUGACGGCCUUCGGGUUGUAAACCUCUUUCAGCAGGGACGAAGCGAGAGUGACGGUACCUGCAGAAGAAGCACCGGCCAACUACGUGCCAGCAGCCGCGGUAAUACGUAGGGUGCAAGCGUUAUCCGGAAUUAUUGGGCGUAAAGAGCUCGUAGGCGGUUUGUCGCGUCUGCUGUGAAAACUGGGGGCUCAACCCCCAGCCUGCAGUGGGUACGGGCAGACUAGAGUGCGGUAGGGGAGAUUGGAAUUCCUGGUGUAGCGGUGGAAUGCGCAGAUAUCAGGAGGAACACCGAUGGCGAAGGCAGAUCUCUGGGCCGUAACUGACGCUGAGGAGCGAAAGCAUGGGGAGCGAACAGGAUUAGAUACC
RNAcentral lists this ribosomal RNA (709 nucleotides) under uncultured bacterium. RNAcentral's name for it is "bacterial SSU rRNA". It matches the Rfam family "Bacterial small subunit ribosomal RNA", at positions 61 to 786 of the family's 1533-position model. The record is from RNAcentral.